Molecule: unclassified non-coding RNA, 294 nt
Filed under: Hevea brasiliensis (rubber tree)
Lineage: Eukaryota; Viridiplantae; Streptophyta; Magnoliopsida; Malpighiales; Euphorbiaceae
Source: RNAcentral
GUAUGGUCUGGUCAACAAGAAAAUUACCGACAUACAGCAAAUUCAUACCAUCUGAUAAUGAAGAUUUUUGCUGAGUCUGACGAAUUCAAGGCUAUGUGGAGAUUAGUAGAUGAGAUGAUUGAGAAAGGAUACCCUACAACUGCUAGGACAUUUAAUUUGUUGAUAUGUACUUGUGGAGAGGCAGGUUUGGCUAGAAAAGUAGUAGAGAGGUUUAUUAAGUCAAAGACAUUCAAUUAUAGACCAUUCAGGCAUUCAUUUAAUGCAAUUUUGCAUUCCCUUCUGGGUGUAAAUCAG